Long non-coding RNA from Homo sapiens (human), 495 nucleotides. The record is from Ensembl. NCBI's taxonomy places the organism in Eukaryota, Metazoa, Chordata, Mammalia, Primates, Hominidae.
CGCCCUCUGCAGCCACACCUGGACCGGCAGGCAUGCACGCUGCAGGCAGGCUGCCUCCGCUGUUUGGGUCCCAUGAACGAUGGAAGCCUCCCAGUGAGAUCUUCAGGUCUCUCAUCAGGCACAGGCUCUGAGGGAGGGUCCUGGGGCCACAUGACUGCAGCCAGCGAGGGCCGAGCCCCCAGAAUCCAGGUCAGCUCCUGGUGGCAGGGGACCUGCCCGUCAAAGCCGUCCAAGGGUUUCCGCGGCCCUGUCAGAACAGGCUUGAUAGAUGCCCGGAGGUUCCCUCUGACAGCCGCAGCAGCAGGGCUCAAACCGGCGGGGCCGUGUACCGCUCCAAGGACAAGCUCUGCCGAGGCCGACAUGAAAAGCCAGCACGCGGGUCGCCUAGAGCCGCUCUGCCUCCAAGCUGCAGCGCCGUUCGUGAAAAUACAGAGGGAGAGGGAAGGCACAAAGAAAUACAAAACUAUUUUCCAAAUAAAAAGAAAUGUCGAAACA